RNAcentral lists this ribosomal RNA (253 nucleotides) under uncultured prokaryote. RNAcentral's name for it is "partial 16S ribosomal RNA". It matches the Rfam family "Bacterial small subunit ribosomal RNA", at positions 524 to 776 of the family's 1533-position model. The record is from RNAcentral.
UACAGAGGGUGCAAGCGUUAAUCGUAAUUACUGGGCGUAAAGCGUGCGUAGACGGUUACAUAAGUCGGGUGUGAAAGCCCCGGGCUCAACCUGGGAACUGCAUUUGUGACUGCAUCGCUGGAGUGCGGCAGAGGGGGAUGGAAUUCCGCGUGUAGCAGUGAAAUGCGUAGAUAUGCGGAGGAACACCGAUGGCGAAGGCAAUCCCCUGGGCCUGCACUGACGCUCAUGCACGAAAGCGUGGGGAGCAAACAGG